RNAcentral lists this ribosomal RNA (253 nucleotides) under uncultured bacterium. RNAcentral describes it as "partial 16S ribosomal RNA". It matches the Rfam family "Bacterial small subunit ribosomal RNA", at positions 524 to 776 of the family's 1533-position model. The record is from RNAcentral.
UACGAAGGGGGCUAGCGUUGCUCGGAAUCACUGGGCGUAAAAGGUGCGUAGGCGGGUCUUUAAGUCAGGGGUGAAAUCCUGGAGCUCAACUCCAGAACUGCCUUUGAUACUGAAGAUCUUGAGUUCGGGAGAGGUGAGUGGAACUGCGAGUGUAGAGGUGAAAUUCGUAGAUAUUGGCUGGAACACCGGUGGCGAAAGCGGCUCUCUGGCCCGGUUCUGACGCUGAGGCACGAAAGCGUGGGGAGCAAACAGG